UACGAAGGGGGCUAGCGUUGCUCGGAAUCACUUGGAGUAAAGCGCACGUAGGCGGAUUGUUAAGUCAGUGGUGAAAUCCUGGAGCUCAACUCCAGAACUGCCUUUGAUACUGGCGAUCUCGAGUCCGGGAGAGGUGAGUGGAACUGCGAGUGUAGAGGUGAAAUUCGUAGAUAUUCGCAAGAACACCAGUGGCGAAGGCGGCUCACUGGACCGGAACUGACGCUGAGGUGCGAAAGCGUGGGGAGCGAACAGG
RNAcentral lists this ribosomal RNA (253 nucleotides) under uncultured bacterium. Its description in RNAcentral is "partial 16S ribosomal RNA". It matches the Rfam family "Bacterial small subunit ribosomal RNA", at positions 524 to 776 of the family's 1533-position model. The record is from RNAcentral.